CUUCAAACUGGGUUUUUUUUUUGCUUUCUUUUGGAUCAACAGCAACAAUCAAAUGUGAGGAAGGCUGUACUUGAUGGACACAAGUCUCUUUUCAGCUAUGUAACUAUGUAACUAUGUAUGUAAUAUACAAGCACCCCUUCAAACAUUAACACUAUACAUUACACUAUAGCGCCAGUAAAUGCCACAGCACUGUACAGAUAUACAAC
Molecule: non-coding RNA, 206 nt
Organism: Pelobates cultripes (western spadefoot toad)
Lineage: Eukaryota; Metazoa; Chordata; Amphibia; Anura; Pelobatidae
Source: the annotation of a GenBank genome assembly